GACGAACGCUGGCGGCGUGCCUAAUACAUGCAAGUAGAACGCUGAAGAGAGGAGCUUGCUCUUCUUGGAUGAGUUGCGAACGGGUGAGUAACGCGUAGGUAACCUGCCUUGUAGCGGGGGAUAACUAUUGGAAACGAUAGCUAAUACCGCAUAACAAUGGAUGACACAUGUCAUUUAUUUGAAAGGGGCAAUUGCUCCACUACAAGAUGGACCUGCGUUGUAUUAGCUAGUAGGUGAGGUAAUGGCUCACCUAGGCGACGAUACAUAGCCGACCUGAGAGGGUGAUCGGCCAAAAGGGGAAUGGGACACGGCAAAGAAGCCUACGGGAGGCAGCAGUAGGGAAUCUUCGGAAAUGGGGGCAACCCUGACCGAGAAACGCCGCGUGAGGGAAGAAGGUUUUCGGAUCGUAAAGCUCUGUUGUAAGUCAAGAAAGGGUGUGAGAGUGGAAAGUUCACACUGUGACGGUAGCUUACUAGAAAGGGACGGCUAACUACGUG
This 497-nucleotide ribosomal RNA is filed under the name uncultured bacterium. Its description in RNAcentral is "partial 16S ribosomal RNA". It matches the Rfam family "Bacterial small subunit ribosomal RNA", at positions 28 to 507 of the family's 1533-position model. The record is from RNAcentral.